UAGGGAAUAUUAGUAAUGGACGAAAGUCUGAACUAGCAACACCGCGUGUGCGAAGAAGGCCUUCGGGUUGUAAAGCACUUUUAGAGAGGAUGAGGAAGGACGGUACUCUCUGAAUAAGUCUCGGCUAACUACGUGCCAGCAGCCGCGGUAACACGUAGGAGGCGAACGUUAUCCGGAUUUACUGGGCGUAAAGCGCGUGUAGGUGGUUUGUUAAGUAGGGCGUGAAAGCUCCCGGCUCAACUGGGAGAGGUCGCUCUAAACUGGCAAGCUAGAGGAUGGAAGAGGGAGGUGGAAUUCCGGGUGUAGCGGUGGAAUGCGCAGAUAUCCGGAGGAACACCAGUGGCGAAAGCGGCCUCCUGGUCCAUUCCUGACACUCAGACGCGAAAGCUAGGGUAGCAAACGGG
RNAcentral lists this ribosomal RNA (404 nucleotides) under uncultured prokaryote. RNAcentral's name for it is "bacterial SSU rRNA". It matches the Rfam family "Bacterial small subunit ribosomal RNA", at positions 355 to 776 of the family's 1533-position model. RNAcentral also lists the same sequence under 1 other name. The record is from RNAcentral.